GCCUGGCUGGCUUGGUUGGUAGAGCAUGUGACUCCUGAUCUCAGAGUUGUGAGUUCAAGCCUCACAUUGGGCA
Molecule: non-coding RNA, 73 nt
Organism: Leopardus geoffroyi (Geoffroy's cat)
Lineage: Eukaryota; Metazoa; Chordata; Mammalia; Carnivora; Felidae
Source: the annotation of a RefSeq genome assembly